ACAACAGUGGCACAAUGGUUAAGUGCUUGGCUGCUAAUCAAAAUGUUGGUGGUUUGAACCCACCCAGUGGCU
RNAcentral lists this transfer RNA (72 nucleotides) under Loxodonta africana (African savanna elephant). It matches the Rfam family "tRNA". Rfam says of the family: Transfer RNA (tRNA) molecules are approximately 80 nucleotides in length. Their secondary structure includes four short double-helical elements and three loops (D, anti-codon, and T loops). Lineage: Eukaryota; Metazoa; Chordata; Mammalia; Proboscidea; Elephantidae. The record is from Rfam by way of RNAcentral.